Molecule: ribosomal RNA, 492 nt
Filed under: uncultured bacterium
Lineage: Bacteria
Description: partial 16S ribosomal RNA
Rfam family: Bacterial small subunit ribosomal RNA
Source: RNAcentral
AGUGAACGCUGGCGGUAGGCCUAACACAUGCAAGUCGAACGGCAGCACAGUAGGAGCUUGCUCUUACGGGUGGCGAGUGGCGGACGGGUGAGGAAUACAUCGGAAUCUACUUUUUCGUGGGGGAUAACGUAGGGAAACUUACGCUAAUACCGCAUACGACCUACGGGUGAAAGCAGGGGAUCUUCGGACCUUGCGCGAUUGAAUGAGCCGAUGUCGGAUUAGCUAGUUGGCGGGGUAAAGGCCCACCAAGGCGACGAUCCGUAGCUGGUCUGAGAGGAUGAUCAGCCACACUGGAACUGAGACACGGUCCAGACUCCUACGGGAGGCAACAGUGGGGAAUAUUGGACAAUGGGCGCAGGCCUGAUCCAGCCAUACCGCGUGGGUGAAGAAGGCCUUCGGGUUGUAAAGCCCUUUUGUUGGGAAAGAAAAGCAGCAGGUUAAUACCCCGCUGUUCUGACGGUACCCAAAGAAUAAGCACCGGCUAACUUCGUG